UGGGCAACCUGAGUGCCAUUUUAGCAAAAGACGUUGCUGAGACACUCAGUCUGUGUAUCUGUGUAGAGAGGCUGCGAAAGAGGCAGUGGAAAAGGCAGCACCCUUCCAUGGCCUCCUCAACGCUGGCAAUGACAUAAUCACUUCCAUUGGUGAGAUAGUCACAUAACAUCCUUAGAUGAUUUCCCGUUGGAUAAUCACUGUCUGGGCAUGGCACAAGGAUGCACAGCCAUCUCUGCC
RNAcentral lists this long non-coding RNA (237 nucleotides) under Rattus norvegicus (Norway rat). RNAcentral's name for it is "long non-coding RNA NONRATT032313". The record is from RNAcentral. Lineage: Eukaryota; Metazoa; Chordata; Mammalia; Rodentia; Muridae.